Long non-coding RNA from Dioscorea cayenensis subsp. rotundata (Guinea yam), 1697 nucleotides. RefSeq lists it as uncharacterized. The record is from RefSeq and is a predicted model, not a curated record. Lineage: Eukaryota; Viridiplantae; Streptophyta; Magnoliopsida; Dioscoreales; Dioscoreaceae. The transcript has 5 exons.
GAGAUUAGGUCCUAUUGCUGAUGCUUUAAAUACAGUUGAGAUGCAUCGAGAUUAGCACUCUCGUUUCGUUGUCAGUGAAGCUGCUUGUCCUGGAGCUAUGGGUUUAGGGUCUCGCGAUCGCCGCCAUGGAUGUCGGCCGCCGCCGCCGCCGCCGGCGGAAGCUCUGUGUAGGCUCCAGCUCUCGAUCGCCGCCGGCUUGAUUGUUCGUAGGUCUGCAGUCCUCUGGGAUUCCAACUAACAUGUCGUUUUGGAGGAAUCCAAAAUGCCAGGGACUGCAUGGCUAUGGGGAAGAGUGCUGAGCUUUUGUGCAAGGACAUCAUGGCUCAAAUUAGUAGCUUUGUGGCUGUCGAGUUUGAAGGUCAUGUGGGCCUUAUUUGGUGACAACGGGUCUUUUUCAUCAGAGACCAAGGAUAGGUACUCCAAACAUGAAGGCUACAUGUCCGAAAGGGAACUUUGAAACUAUGGUUGGGUUCAUUAGUACAGAUUGCUAGCACCUUAUAGGGAACAUCGAAAACAACAAGAGAAGACCACAGUGCUAUUGAACUUUAAAAUUGUGUUGAGGACUUUGCUUCUCUUUACACGGACAAGCCAGGAAGAAGCUUCAUCAAUGCAUCUACCCAAUGAGUGAAAUGAAUAUUCUAAUGGUUUGGUAAUUGUUAAUACAUGCAGCAUAUAUUCCAUAAUCUGUUUCUCUUGCUGGAUUUUCUUGCCACUUUUUAGUGGUAAGAUUGGAUAGAAUCAUAGCAUCACUUGUGAAAGGUAUGAGAGAUGAUCAUUGGGGAUUUAAGCAUCUGAUAAGUUUUAAAGAGAUUUGGCCUAGUGUUACUGUUUUUUCUAUAUAGCUUUUUUUUCCCCCCCAAAAAAAAAAUAAUAAUAAUAAUAAUUCUUGUGAAUUAGUGGUAAUAAUAUUGACAGAAUUUAUUUAUUUAUUUAUUUAAUGUUUUUGUCUCAUGAUUCACUUUCUUGAGUUCUUAGAGAGGAAAAGAAGCAGCAGCCAUGAAGAAGAGCAGACAGUGUCAGGCUGCCAUCUCAGUAAGGCUUUUCAUCAUCGUCUCCAUCUGUUAGUCAGUGGCCGUAUCAGACAAAAGCUUCCAUAACAACACACCUCUACACCCUCUUUUCUAAUCUCAAGGAAAACAAAGGAAUCUCUAGCCCUCCUUUCCCUUAUUCUUGCUCCAGUGGAAUCAUUAAUGAUAGGGGCAUAGAAAGAAAGCAAACCCAUCACCAACAAAAUAUAUAUAUAAAUAAAUAAAUAAAGCAAAAGAGAAGCAUAGAAAAAAGCAUGAAACGAUAGAGAAACUUAUUAUAUAUAUAUAUAUAUGUUUAUGUAUCUAGAGAGAGAGAGAGAGAGAGAGAGAGAGAGAGAGAGAGAGAGAGCAAGGAAAGGCAAGUCCCUGACUUUUUCUUUCCUUUAAUAAUGUCUCACAUUGCCCAAACUUCCACAUCCUAAGACUUGAGAACCCUUGGUUUUGUUGAAUGAAAACAACAACAACAACAACAGGAGGCAACAGCAGCAGCAACCUUCCUUUCCUAAUCUAAAGUUCUUACAGUGAGGACUCUGUUUAGAUGUGACACUUACCUUUUCCAUUGCCAUUUUCAUUGCCAUUGCCAUUCAUUUUCAGGCCCUAUCUAUGAAAUCUUCCACUAUGACUACAAAACAGUUACACAAACCAUUAAAAACCCAUAGUUUAAAAAAA